GCCAGGCAUGGUGGCACAUGCCUGUAAUCCCAGCUGCUCAGGAGGCUGAGGCAGGAGGAUUGAGAGUUCAAAGCCAGCCUCAGCCUUUGCAAGGUCCAAAGCAAUUUACUGAGACUCUGUCUCUA
Molecule: small RNA, 125 nt
Filed under: Marmota monax (woodchuck)
Lineage: Eukaryota; Metazoa; Chordata; Mammalia; Rodentia; Sciuridae
Source: RNAcentral